ACGGGCCGGUGGACGGUCGCGUCGUCGCCCGCGAGGGCGGCGCCGAGGAACGUCCGGGCUCCGCAGAGCAGGGCGGUGGGUAACGCCCACCCGGGGUGACCCGAGAGCAAGUGCAACAGAGAGCAGACCGCCUCCGAGGGCCUUCGGGUCCUCGGCGGUAAGGGUGAAACGGUGGUGUAAGAGACCACCAGGGGCCCGUGUGAGCGGGCUCGCUGGGUAAACCUCGCCCGGAGCAAGGUCGAACAGGGACCGAUUCGGCUGCUCGUCGAUGGUCCCGGGUGGACCGCUGGAGGGCCGCGGCAACGCGUCCCCGAGAUAGAUGGCCGUCACCGGUGCCUCGGCACCGGGACAGAACCCGGCGUACAGCCGGCCCGUUCCG
Molecule: RNase P RNA, 379 nt
Filed under: Amnibacterium kyonggiense
Lineage: Bacteria; Bacillati; Actinomycetota; Actinomycetes; Micrococcales; Microbacteriaceae
Description: Bacterial RNase P class A
Rfam family: Bacterial RNase P class A
About the family: Ribonuclease P (RNase P) is a ubiquitous endoribonuclease, found in archaea, bacteria and eukarya as well as chloroplasts and mitochondria.
Source: RNAcentral